CGAAGGUGGCGAGCGUUACUCGGAAUUACUAGGCGUAAAGCGCAGGUAGGUGGUUGGAUAAGUCUGUUAUGAAAUCUCCCGGCUUAACUGGGAGGGGCUAAUGGAUACUGUCCGGCUCGAGUGUGGGAGAGGUUACUGGAAUUCCAGGUGUAGCGGUGAAAUGCGUAGAUAUCUGGAGGAACACCAAUGGCGAAAGCAGGUAACUGGCCCAAUACUGACGCUGAGCUGCGAAAGCUAGGGGAGCAAACAGGAUUAGAUACCCUGGUAGUCCUAGCCAUAAACGAUGUAGACCAGAUGUGGGGGGUAUCGACCCCCUCCGUGUCGACGCUAACGCAUUAAGUCUACCGCCUGGGGAGUACGGCCGCAAGGUUG
This 372-nucleotide ribosomal RNA is filed under the name uncultured organism. RNAcentral's name for it is "bacterial SSU rRNA". It matches the Rfam family "Bacterial small subunit ribosomal RNA", at positions 526 to 896 of the family's 1533-position model. The record is from RNAcentral.